RNAcentral lists this ribosomal RNA (477 nucleotides) under uncultured bacterium. RNAcentral's name for it is "bacterial SSU rRNA". It matches the Rfam family "Bacterial small subunit ribosomal RNA", at positions 59 to 527 of the family's 1533-position model. The record is from RNAcentral.
CAGUCGAGGGGUAACAGGAGAUAGUUUACUAUUUUGCUGACGACCGGCGCACGGGUGAGUAACGCGUAUACAAUUUACCUUUUACAGGAGGAUAGCCCAGAGAAAUUUGGAUUAAUACUCCAUGGUAUUACGGAAUCGCAUGGUUUUGUAAUUAAAGUUUCGGCGGUAGAAGAUGAGUAUGCGUCCUAUUAGCUAGAUGGUGAGGUAACGGCUCACCAUGGCGACGAUAGGUAGGGGUCCUGAGAGGGAGAUCCCCCACACUGGUACUGAGACACGGACCAGACUCCUACGGGAGGCAGCAGUGAGGAAUAUUGGUCAAUGGAGGCAACUCUGAACCAGCCAUGCCGCGUGCAGGAAGACUGCCCUAUGGGUUGUAAACUGCUUUUAUACAGGAAGAAACUUACCCACGUGUGGGUAACUGACGGUACUGUACGAAUAAGCAUCGGCUAACUCCGUGCCAGCAGCCGCGGUAAUACG